This 483-nucleotide ribosomal RNA is filed under the name uncultured bacterium. Its description in RNAcentral is "partial 16S ribosomal RNA". It matches the Rfam family "Bacterial small subunit ribosomal RNA", at positions 28 to 523 of the family's 1533-position model. The record is from RNAcentral.
GACGAACGCUGGCGGCGUGCUUAACACAUGCAAGUCGAACGGUGAAAGCGGAGCUUGCUCCGCUGGAUCAGUGGCGAACGGGUGAGUAACACGUGGGCAACCUGCCCCUCACUUCGGGAUAACUCCGGGAAACCGGGGCUAAUACCUGAUCUGACCUCCUUGGGCAUCCUUGGAGGUGGACAGUUUUUCGGUGAGGGAUGGGCCCGCGGUCUAUCAGCUUGUUGGUGAGGUAGUGGCUCACCAAGGCGACGACGGGUAGCCGGCCUGAGAGGGCGACCGGCCACACUGGGACUGAGACACGGCCCAGACUCCUACGGGAGGCAGCAGUGGGGAAUAUUGCGCAAUGGGCGAAAGCCUGACGCAGCAACGCCGCGUGCGGGAUGACGGCCUUCGGGUUGUAAACCUCUUUUAGUAGGGAAGAAGCGAAAGUGACGGUACCUGCAGAAAAAGCACCGGCUAACUACGUGCCAGCCGCCGCUGUAA